AUGCUGACGUUCCCAACAUCAGGCAGAAGCUGGAUGAUAAUGACGGCGAACGCUUUCCCACGUUCCCUGUCCAGCGCCGCGAUGCCAAACUCUAUUGUGUUCCACACUCUCCAGCCCACCUGCUCCUUUGGGAGCGGUGUAUUAUCCCGGGGCAAUUCACAGUCAAUUUGCCAUGCUGUAAUGGAUGCUUUCCCAUUGUUCUUGGCACUCAUGGAUUGGCUGGCGACUGUGGGAAACUCCGAGUCGCUCCGGACCCAGACUUUUGUAAUGAGGCUCCUGCCUAUAAAUAGGGCAGAUCCUGGCUCUCUUCUCCACUCUGAGCUGAGAUCAGCCCUUGGCAUAACGGUGCUCUCUCCAUGGACAUCCCAUCGCCCGGAGGGAAGCACAGACUCUGGAUUGGAUUUACAGCAGCUGGAACUGCUCCUGGAGAAGGCAUUCCAGAGGCACCAGCCCAACUCUUAGCUGGGGAAAGGCGAAAUCCUGGGGGGAAUGGCUGUGAGCGACCUAGGAUACGGGCGAGGUGGGUGCUCCCCAUCACAUCCCGCAUCCCUCUCACUGCCUUUUCCUUUGGGAAAAACUUUAGCUGGCGCCUCCCCGUGUAACACUUUUCUCCUCUCCUGCCCUUUCAGCCUUUGCAGUUCCUGCCCAGAGCCCGCAGCAGGAUGAUCCUGACGGGUAGUGUCCCAGAGCGGCUCUGUAAUUCCCGUCCCUCCGUUCCAUGGGCGCCGGAACGAGGGGAACCUGAGCUGCCCCUCCCGGAAGUCACAGGUGGCACCUGGGGACUCUGUUUCUUCCUCCGCACCCACCUCCAGCCACCAGCCUCCUGCAAAACCUGCAGCACCGACGCGAUUCCACAGCCCUCGGAGACAUUGGCCGUUCACAAUUCCGUGAUUUUUGGACGUUUCCCGUAUUCCAGAGGAGACCAUGACUUGUUGUACAAGUCGCCCCCAUUCCUCUCAUGUUAGGGAAAAAUGUUUCCCCUUUGCAGGUCAUUGCUCUUGCUUGGAUGUCAGCUCCCCUUCUCCCAGAAGACUGCAACGAUCCCACCGCGUGGAGAGGAAGUUAUUCUGAGGGAUUGUGAGCUGUAUCCUCCUGCUGGGAGGGCUGGAGGGGUCGUUCAGAGCGGAACGACGGCUGUUCUUAACCUCUGCGAGGUUGUCCAUGUACCUCUGUUGGGAAAGCUGUAACCCCUGGGGCGCUUAGAAUUCCCAGAAGUGUCCCUGCGGUAGGAGCCUUUUCCUCUGACUCCUCGGGGUCCCAGGGCAUCCACACCUGGAAUGUCCCCGGGUCUCACUGGACACAUUUGGGAAUCUGGCCUUCCCGUGGUUCUAUAUGAGGGGUUCUAUAAUAUUUAUAGUCUGUACUGAGCACCCUCUGAGAAUGGUUAAACCAUAUCCCAAACUAUGUAGAGGAAAUUCCUCGGGAUGUCUUGCUCACAAGCCAAGGCUGUUGUGAGGUUCAGGAUGCAUGUGUGCCUUUUGUAAAGGCUGGAGCUAGUUUUUAUGUCCUUAUAGGACUGAAAGUUACGGCUGUGCUGUCGAUUAUAAAAGCAAUAUUUAUCAAAGUCUUUCAUGAAAGGCGGGUGUUUUAAAUUAUAUUUACUUUUUGGUACCCUUUUGCCAAGGGAAAAUGGGAAUUUGUUAUUGUCCUUGGAGGAUGUUACGAUGCGUUCUGUGCAAGCUGCACCAAUGUACGACCUGUGCCUGAGUUAUCUUGAAUGUCAGAAGUUGCAGAAACUUUUAACCAUCAAAAAUAAAUAAAAAUCUGGUCAAUCA
Molecule: long non-coding RNA, 1775 nt
Organism: Cyanistes caeruleus (blue tit)
Lineage: Eukaryota; Metazoa; Chordata; Aves; Passeriformes; Paridae
Source: Ensembl